Clupea harengus (Atlantic herring) is the source of this 1179-nucleotide long non-coding RNA. The record is from Ensembl. NCBI's taxonomy places the organism in Eukaryota, Metazoa, Chordata, Actinopteri, Clupeiformes, Clupeidae.
GGACACUCUUUUGGCUGUCAUGGACUCCACCUUAAACGGUCCAGCCCAACGUUCCUCUGCAGCGUCUCUUCACUGUUCGCGAUCUCAAAGUCAUCUACCUUUGGAUCGGCGCUGCUGCCGUGAUGAACCCGAUAAAUUGCAAAAUAUGGGCUCACCUUUGUGGAACGCUGCUUCGAGGUGUUUAUCGAAUAAACAGCGUGUUGCAGAUAGACGUCCCAGUCAUUCCGCUCCUCAUUACAGUACUUUGCAAGAUGCCGCUUAAUGUUCUGGUUUGAGCGCUCAUCUUGCCCAUUGCGCUGCGGGUGGUAGGCUGAAGUUACAGCAUGCUCUAUCCCAAAGGUUUCAAAAAGAGCUUUGUUACAGUCAUUAACAAACUCUCAGUUUAUGUUAUUUAACGCUACAGAUUACACCUAACACACGUGUAAUUCAGUUGCUAUUAAUGUUGAACAGCAACGUUAAACGUGACACCACAUUAAAUGUCAGGCAAACGACGUUGCAGCUCAGCGGGAAAAGUAGAGGUCCUGGUAUUAGCCAAUCAAAUAAAUGGUGUUUUCCGUUCCUGCCUGGUAACUCAUCUUAACCAAUCAACAUUCUAGAAUUACAUCCGUAUGCGGAUCGUUUUUGAGUCAACCCAUCGUCUACUUACAGGUUCCACUACUGGGUUCAGUGUUGUUGCUAAUGAGGCGAUAAUUGGUGUGACACACCUCAAGACUUCCUCUUACCUGGAAGUCUGUGAAAGGGAUACCAGCAUUGCUACCCUUGUGUGCGCCCAUUACUGCUGUGUUGCAGCACUGUUAACAACUUUGGACAAAGCCUGAGGCCUGAAUCCGUUCAACAGGAUCUCCAGCCAUUUCAGGGGGGCCUACCUGUGAGACUGACCAGCAGAGAGGUAGAAUGGAGAAAGAGGAGAGAGAACAGCAGAGAAAAUGUUCUAAAAGCGAUUGCAUAUGUAUAUACGCAAGUAUGUAAUAAUAUAUGAAUUCAUAUGAAUACAGUGCACAGUUUAUUUAUGCACCAUGUUGAAAGGCAAAUGGAAAUCUCACAUACGCAGUGGAUACCAACGUCACAGCACAGGGUUCUGCACUUGUCUGGCCGUCGGGGAUUACCGUCAGAGGAUAUUUGCUUUGUCAUACCAUUGCACUGUUUCCACUGCAUCCGACAUUCGUGGAGGAAGCACAG